AUUGAACGCUGGCGGCAUGCCUUACACAUGCAAGUCGAACGGCAGCACGGGAGCAAUCCUGGUGGCGAGUGGCGAACGGGUGAGAAAUAUAUCGGAACGUGCCCAGUGAUGGGGGAUAGCCCGGCGAAAGCCGGAUUAAUACCGCAUACGACCUACGGGUGAAAGCAGGGGAUCGCAAGACCUUGCGUCAUUGGAGCGGCCGAUAUCAGAUUAGCUUGUUGGUGGGGUAAAAGCCUACCAAGGCGACGAUCUGUAGCUGGUCUGAGAGGACGACCAGCCACACUGGGACUGAGACACGGCCCAGACUCCUACGGGAGGCAGCAGUGGGGAAUUUUGGACAAUGGGCGCAAGCCUGAUCCAGCCAUGCCGCGUGCGGGAAGAAGGCCUUCGGGUUGUAAACCGCUUUUGUCAGGGAAGAAACGGGUCGGGCUAAUACCUCGAACUAAUGACGGUACCUGAAGAAUAAGCACCGGCUAACUACGUGCCCAGCAGCCGCGGUAAUACGUUGGGUGCCAGCGUUAAU
Molecule: ribosomal RNA, 523 nt
Filed under: uncultured bacterium
Lineage: Bacteria
Description: bacterial SSU rRNA
Rfam family: Bacterial small subunit ribosomal RNA
Source: RNAcentral